This 595-nucleotide long non-coding RNA is filed under the name Equus caballus (horse). RNAcentral's name for it is "lncRNA (ENSECAG00000052158.1)". The record is from RNAcentral. Lineage: Eukaryota; Metazoa; Chordata; Mammalia; Perissodactyla; Equidae.
CCGGAGUUUUCGCACAGCCUUCUGGAACUUGUAGUCCCUUAAGGACGCGGAGUGGGCUCAUGCCGCGGGCAGGUAACUAGAGAUGAACUGCAUUUCCCAGGGUGCAUUGAAUAAGCGGAGAUGCUGAGGUGGGUGGGAGGACUGUUUCCAUAGCAAAGGCGGCUGGAUGGGGGUGGCUGACAGAAAUGGGGCAGGCCGCGGACCCUCGAAGGAUCGUGCGUGACUUCAGGCAGCCUCUUGGGAGGCCAUUUCCAUUCUCUUUUUUUCCCGGGCCUCCACUUCGAGACUCUGGGCUUCAGUUUUCCUACCUGAGAAGAAGGGCGUGGAACUAUCCUCCCGCCCACGCUCUGUGGUGAUGGGACAAACCGAGGGCGAGGCGCUUUGGUUUGCCCAGCGAAGGAGAGACUUGACACAGAAAGCACAGUCCUGUCGUUGAGGAACCUGGAACAAGUUGGGGAGGUGCAGCCGAGUAGGAGGCUUUCUUGAUGAGGCUCUAAGAGGACCCCGUGAUGGCUCUCUCACAUCAGUGGCCAUCCCCGGUCCACUGGAAACAUUCACGCAUCCUUUGCCCUCACGACCUCUGGGCAUGCAGGCA